CUCAGUCAUUUCAUUCAGGGUAAGCGGAGUUAGCCGUGUGCUAGCCUGCCCCAGAACAGGACCGUUCUGAAGGAUUUGUUGCCAUAGAAAUGUCCCUGGCUAGAAGGCCUACCUGUUGCUGACGUGUUAACUGGCUCGUCCUGAAGUCCUAUUAUCCACACCAAUCCAAAGACUGAGGUCACCAUGCUGCUCGUUAUGGCUCACACCUGUCACCAUCAUUACGUGCACCUGCGCAUCAUCAGACUCAUCAUCUCCCUGGACUCCACCAUCUCCUUGGACUCCACCAUCUCCCUGGACUCCACCAUCUCCCUGGACUCCAUCAUCUCCCUGGACUCCACCAUCUCCCUGGACUCCAUCAUCUCCCUGGACUCCAUCAUCUCCCUGGACUCCAUCAUCUCCCUGAUUCCA
Molecule: long non-coding RNA, 408 nt
Organism: Oncorhynchus kisutch (coho salmon)
Lineage: Eukaryota; Metazoa; Chordata; Actinopteri; Salmoniformes; Salmonidae
Exons: 3
Source: RefSeq, a predicted model, not a curated record